CAUGCUCCGGGUGCUCGUCCCAGCCCUGGGGAUGGCUAUUGUCCUAAGAGACGCCAGAGCUCAGACCGUGACCCAGCCCGACGCCCAGGUCGCUGUGUCUGAAGGAGCCGCCCUGGAGCUGAGGUGCAACUACUCCUAUGGGGCAUCUGUUUAUCUCUUCUGGUACGUCCAGUACCCGGGCCAAGGCCCCCAGCUCCUCCUGAAGUACCUGUCAGGGGACGCCCGGGUUCCCGGCAUCAGAGGCUUUGAGGCUGAGUUUAAGAAGAGCGAUUCUUCCUUCCACCUGAGGAAAGCCUCAGUGCAGGGGAGCGACGCGGCCCGGUACUUGUGCGCUGCUGCGAGUGCCACAGCGCCUGGGCCUGCAGGGGGAGCCGGACACAAACCUCCGGAGGUGCUGGGGAGAAGAAACGCCUCCGAAAGACUUUGCAAAAGCAAAGAACCUGGAGCUCUUCCAGCAGAGGCGCCCGGGGACUGGGGACUUGCCGGCCCGCGUGGGGCUGACGCACUCUUAGUGGUUGGAUGGGGGAGGUGCCCAGGAGAGUUCUGAUCUGCACUCAGCAUUUUACUUUUCAGUAACUCGAACAGAGGGCGAGCCUCCUCUUGUAGGCUUUUCUUGUACACUUUAUGUUUUCCCAAUUUGGAAAUUGUAAGCUAGUUUUCCUGGCUCCACUCUGUUACUGGUUAAUUUCUCUUCGUUUUAAGUGCUCCAUUUAGGAGAGAGGAAGGAGGUUGAUUUCGAUGUUGAACAGCUUAGCACAAUGGCAUAUGCAUGUAGGUUUUAGUAACUUUUUAGGAAUAUCGGAGAAACAAGAGUGAGUAAUCCAAAUUGCAAAUAGUUUUAGAGCUCUACUUAAGAGAGAGAAGAUGCGAAA
Molecule: non-coding RNA, 872 nt
Organism: Lepus europaeus (European hare)
Lineage: Eukaryota; Metazoa; Chordata; Mammalia; Lagomorpha; Leporidae
Source: the annotation of a RefSeq genome assembly